This 893-nucleotide ribosomal RNA is filed under the name Bacillus sp. (in: firmicutes). RNAcentral describes it as "bacterial SSU rRNA". It matches the Rfam family "Bacterial small subunit ribosomal RNA", at positions 43 to 918 of the family's 1533-position model. The record is from RNAcentral. Lineage: Bacteria; Bacillati; Bacillota; Bacilli; Caryophanales; Bacillaceae.
UGGGGCCUAAUACAGGCAGUCGAGCGAUCUGAGGGAGCUUGCUCCCAAAGAUUAGCGGCGGACGGGUGAGUAACACGUGGGCAACCUGCCUGUAAGACUGGGAUAACUUCGGGAAACCGGAGCUAAUACCGGAUAAUCCUUUUCUACUCAUGUGGAAAAGCUGAAAGAUGGCUUCGGCUAUCACUUACAGAUGGGCCCGCGGCGCAUUAGCUAGUUGGUGAGGUAACGGCUCACCAAGGCGACGAUGCGUAGCCGACCUGAGAGGGUGAUCGGCCACACUGGGACUGAGACACGGCCCAGACUCCUACGGGAGGCAGCAGUAGGGAAUCUUCCGCAAUGGACGAAAGUCUGACGGAGCAACGCCGCGUGAGUGAUGAAGGUUUUCGGAUCGUAAAACUCUGUUGUUAGGGAAGAACAAGUACCGUUCGAAUAGGGCGGUACCUUGACGGUACCUAACCAGAAAGCCACGGCUAACUACGUGCCAGCAGCCGCGGUAAUACGUAGGUGGCAAGCGUUGUCCGGAAUUAUUGGGCGUAAAGCGCGCGCAGGUGGUUUCUUAAGUCUGAUGUGAAAGCCCCCGGCUCAACCGGGGAGGGUCAUUGGAAACUGGGAGACUUGAGUGCAGAAGAGGAAAGUGGAAUUCCAAGUGUAGCGGUGAAAUGCGUAGAGAUUUGGAGGAACACCAGUGGCGAAGGCGACUUUCUGGUCUGUAACUGACACUGAGGCGCGAAAGCGUGGGGAGCGAACAGGAUUAGAUACCCUGGUAGUCCACGCCGUAAACGAUGAGUGCUAAGUGUUAGAGGGUUUCCGCCCUUUAGUGCUGCAGCAAACGCAUUAAGCACUCCGCCUGGGGAGUACGGCCGCAAGGCUGAAACUCAAUGGAAUUGACGGAA